RNAcentral lists this ribosomal RNA (1035 nucleotides) under uncultured Neocallimastigales. RNAcentral describes it as "partial large subunit ribosomal RNA". The stretch from base 244 to 1035 matches the Rfam family "Eukaryotic large subunit ribosomal RNA", at positions 1 to 644 of the family's 3401-position model. The record is from RNAcentral. Lineage: Eukaryota; Fungi; Neocallimastigomycota; Neocallimastigomycetes; Neocallimastigales.
CGCAUCUGUGCAUGCAGCAUAUCAAUAAGCGGAGGAAAAGUCAAUACCUACGCUUAGGAUGUUGACACACGCGCGUGCUCGACUCUAUACAUGACUCUGUGCAUAUCAAUAAGCGGAGGAAAAGUCAAUACCUACGCUUAGGAUGUUGACACACGCGCGUGCUCGAUGAUAGUCUAUACAUGACUCUGUGCAUAUCAAUAAGCGGAGGAAAAGGUACCUACGCUUAGGAUGUUGACACACGCGCGUGCUCGACUCUACACAUGACUCUGUGCAUGCCAUAUCAAUAAGCGGAGGAAAAGAAACUAACAAGGAUUCCCUUAGUAACGGCGAGUGAAGCGGGAAGAGCUCAAAUUUGAAAUCUUCAAGGUUUUACCUUGGACGAAUUGUAGUUUAAAGAAGUGUUUUCUGUUGAAGUUUUGGUAAAAGUUCUUUGGAAUAGGACAUCAUAGAGGGUGAGAAUCCCGUAUUUGACCAUUAUUUUCAGCUGUGUGAUACACUUUCAAAGAGUCGGAUUGUUUGGGAAUGCAGUUCAAAAUGGGUGGUAAAUUUCAUCUAAAGCUAAAUAUUGGCGAGAGACCGAUAGCGAACAAGUACCGUGAGGGAAGGAUGAAAAGAACUUUGAAAAGAGAGUUAAACAGUACUGUGAAAUUGUCAAAAGGGAAGCGUUUGACACCAGUGUUGUUUUCUCGAAAAUCAAUUAAAAAGAGUUAGAUUUUGUUGUGUAUUGACCUUAACAGCUUGCAUUUCAAUUUUCUUGCUUUUUUUAAUGCACUUUUCGUUUAACAAGUCAACAUCAGUUUCUUUUGUUGUAAAAAGGUCAUUGGAAGGUGGCUUUCUUUUCGGAGAAAGUGUUUAUAGCCUUUGACUCCUGCAAUCGGAGAGACUGAGGUCUGCAGCGUAGAUCCUUCGGGGUUAGAUACAUUUGUGCUAAGUUAUAGCUUUUUAUAAACAACUUGUUGACUAUGAUUAGUCUUGUAGCUUACUCGCUUAUGCUAUUUUACCUACGCUUAGGAUGUUGACACACGCGCGUGCUCG